Xiphias gladius (swordfish) is the source of this 2704-nucleotide RNA transcript. RefSeq lists it as uncharacterized. NCBI's taxonomy places the organism in Eukaryota, Metazoa, Chordata, Actinopteri, Istiophoriformes, Xiphiidae. The transcript is spliced from 7 exons. The record is from RefSeq and is a predicted model, not a curated record.
GUUUCCAGGGGAAAAAAUAUAAGCGGAGAACCCAGCUGGGACGUGCUUGUUGUUCAAUGUUCUGAUUUUUGAAGUUAUUGAAGUCGGCUACUCCUCAGUGGUUUUGGAAAAUGAGCAAAAAUCAAAGUCAGCUGUUUGCCAGGUCAUGAGAUAGGGAGAACUAAAAGAGACAGAAAGGAAGACAUUUUCAAAGAGCAAAAAGAAAUCAAAGAAAACAAUGAAGAUUUCUGUUGGGAUCAUGAAUAGGAUCAAGAAUGGCUUCAAGCCCAUAAGAGGGAAAACCAUACCUCUACAUGUUGAACCCCAGUGGUCAUCUGAGCAGCUUUUGACAGCUGCCAUGAAAAGAACUGAAAGACUACAACCAAGACAUGGAAGAUGGAGUAUACGUCUUGCUCUAUCCUGAUGACUCUCAGAUAAAAAAAUAUCCCUGGGGCUGACACAUCCUCUACCAUUGAAUACUACAAAGAGGCCAUUGGAAAGGCUUGUCAAAGGAUCACAGUGUACAUCUGCACCCUUGAACCCUUGUUGUCAAAAAAUGUUAAUGGAUGCACUGCAGAAACCACAGAUGUAAGGGAGCAGCCCCCUGAGAUGAACACUGCGGUGGACUGGGAAAUAUCAGAGCCACAGCCAAAAAAAAACUUAAAGAACAGCAAAUUGACUGUGAAAUAAGUUGGGGGUCAGAACAACAGCAAGAGCUGGGGGGAGCUGACAACACAGUUGCCCCAGGCUGUGUGAAAAUUGACCUAGGCGAGGAAGACGUAAACAUGCCCUGCAUCGCUGACUUGUACCACAUUAAAGUGGUGGAGUAAGAACCCAACUCUUCAGCCACUAUCUCAGCUGAUGAAGCGAAUGAUGAACACAAGGACAGUUCCUCAUUGGACUAGGAUGCAGUCACAGAUUGCUCACAGCUAUCCCGAAGAGAAGAAAGUGCAAGUGAGAGUCAGGAAUCUCAAAAACAUAAUAAAACGUCAAAGACAACGGAAAUCAAAAUGGAAGAAGUCAAAGAAAUCCCUGCAGAAAACUAUGCUAGAAUUACCAACGAUCAUGCCCUACAAAUCUUUAAUUUCUGCACCAACUGACUGCCAGUCCUUUUUGGCAAGGCUCAGUGAGGGAUAUUCCCAAUGACAAGAAGCCUCUGAUAGCUAAAAUGGGCCUUACAGCAGAUGUGGAAUUGGUGGACUGUGCUUUUGACUGGAGCCAGUGUCGGCCCUUCCUACCCUCAGUGCCAAGGAGCAGGAUCAUGUGAACGUCAAGCAGAUCACCUGGGAGGCAACACAUAGUCUGGAGCACUCCACAUGUGGAUGCAAGGAGUCUGUAGAGGAGCUGCGGAAACUGUGCUUGACCAGCUGUUUCAGGGAGAUCUGCAAACUUAAACCAGGACAGAGCCACGCGGAGCGCCUGAUAUCAAAGAUAAGGAACGGAUUCCCCAGGUGCAAGACAGCACAGAUAGAAGAGGAAAUGAAGACUGAUGUGCUCCGGGAAUACUGUCAGCAUCAGUGUGUCAACUGGUUCCCCUGUGGUUUGGUUGUCCACCCGAACCCUCCAUGGUUGGGUGCGCUGCCUGAUGGGUUGGCAUACGACCCCGAUGGGAAGCCCAGUUUCAGGUUGGUACAUGUCAAAUGUAUCAGGUUCCGAAGCUUCCUCGACUGCGGGUUCCUGGUCUGCCGGGACGGAGCCUUGAAGCUGAAGACGACCCACUCAUACCCCUGGCACAUCCAAGGAGAGAUGAGGGCGACAAGCACGUCAUGGUGUAAUCUGUUUGUCUUCUCCACAGAAGACAUACUGGUUCAACGCAUCUACCACGACAAAGUUAUCAUCAAGGUCAUGAAGAAGAAGUUGCAUGAUUUUUUUUUUCUUUUUUUUUUCUGUUACUACCUGCCAAGUGUAUUUUACACUGGUGUCACAGCUUGAGUGUUUGUGGCAUCGUCACACUGCUGUCAAUACACUACACGUUGAUCCUCAGGUGGUUGGUUGUGAGUUUUAACAGAUUGCAAACGCCUUGAAUGUUGUACAUUUUCUGACCACUACUGCUCUACUGGCAUUAUUAAAUAUGUAACUUUUAUUAUUAGUUCCAUUGAGUCUCGUCAGAAGUAAGUUUGUGUUCUGAAAUUUGUCUCUCAUUCAAGUAUGUUUUCAUUACCGACGGGAACAAUUUUGAUCCUUUUGUAUUUUCUUUUACUUUGAGAUGACUGUUGAAACAGCCAAAUCCUUGCUUCAAUUAGAAAUAGCUGUUUUGAUUCGCCAUGUUUAACCCUCUUACAUCUCCAAAGGCGCCAUGUUCUAGGGCUACAUGUACUGAAAAUAUUAUUUUCAAUAUUGAUCAAUCUGCUAAUAAUUUACGCAAUUAUUGGAUUAAUCGUUUUGUCAACGAAAUGUCAGAAAAACAGUGAAACAAGCCAUCACAAUUUUCCAGAGCCCAAGCUCAAGUUGAUCAUGUCAGAAGGUAUUCAGUUUACCAUCAGAAACCAGAAAACAUACACAUUUGAGAAGCUGGAACAAGGUAAUAUUUGCACUCAAGUAAAUGACUUAAAUGAUUAAUCCAUUACUAAAAUUGUUUUGUUUUUGCAGCACCAUCCCUGCAAGUCAUGUAAUUAUGUAGGAUAACAACAAUUUCUUUCUCUGAAUGACUUUUUGGCAGACAAAAGGAACAUAUAUUCUCCCAUGUGUAGCCCAUAAAGCAUAAAAUAUUUGCUCUUUUGUUGUA